Molecule: ribosomal RNA, 464 nt
Filed under: uncultured bacterium
Lineage: Bacteria
Description: partial 16S ribosomal RNA
Rfam family: Bacterial small subunit ribosomal RNA
Source: RNAcentral
ACGAACGCUGGCGGCGUGCUUAACACAUGCCAGUCGAACGGAAAGGCCCUGCUUGCAGGGUACUCGAGUGGCGAACGGGUGAGUAACACGUGGGUGAUCUGCCCUGCACUUCGGGAUAAGCCUGGGAAACUGGGUCUAAUACCGGAUAGGAGCCAUUUUUAGUGUGAUGGUUGGAAAGUUUUUUCGGUGUAGGAUGAGCUCGCGGCCUAUCAGCUUGUUGGUGGGGUAAUGGCCUACCAAGGCGGCGACGGGUAGCCGGCCUGAGAGGGUGGACGGCCACAUUGGGACUGAGAUACGGCCCAGACUCCUACGGGAGGCAGCAGUGGGGAAUAUUGCACAAUGGGCGCAAGCCUGAUGCAGCGACGCCGCGUGGGGGAUGACGGCCUUCGGGUUGUAAACUCCUUUCGCUAGGGACGAAGCUUUUUGUGACGGUACCUAGAUAAGAAGCACCGGCUAACUACGUG